GGGGGAGGCCGUUUUGUGUGCGAGUGUAA
RNAcentral lists this unclassified non-coding RNA (29 nucleotides) under Dictyostelium discoideum. Lineage: Eukaryota; Evosea; Eumycetozoa; Dictyosteliales; Dictyosteliaceae. The record is from RNAcentral.